GGAGAAUCUAUGGAGUUGGCUGUGAUAAGAGCAAGUCAUGAUGUUCCUGUACAUCUUAGGAUGGUGGUGGAGGAGGUCACAUCAGAUAAAUUAUACAGAUGGCCACUUUGGAAGGAAUGAUGACAUUCGAGGAUAGUAACAUCUUAAGAGUUGCAGGCAAUGGGAAGAUGUAUGGUGGUUCUAACAUGCAAUGCGAAUUAAGCUAGUUGAUCAGUGCUAACUUGAGUCUGCUAUCUAUUUU
Molecule: unclassified non-coding RNA, 241 nt
Filed under: Hevea brasiliensis (rubber tree)
Lineage: Eukaryota; Viridiplantae; Streptophyta; Magnoliopsida; Malpighiales; Euphorbiaceae
Source: RNAcentral